ACACGUAGGGGGCGAGCGUUGUUCGGAAUCAUUGGGCGUAAAGGGCGCGCAGGCGGCGAGGCAAGUCCGGUGUGAAAGUGCUCGGCUCAACCGAGUGAUGCGCUGGAAACUGCCCUGCUUGAGUACAGGAGGGGACGUCGGAAUUCCAGGUGUAGGGGUGAAAUCUGUAGAUAUCUGGAAGAACACCGGUGGCGAAGGCGGACGUCUGGCCAUGUACUGACGCUGAGGCGCGAAGGUGCGGGGAGCGAACAGGUUUAGAUACCCUGGUAGUCCGCACAGUAAACGAUGUGCACCAGGUGGCGGGGGGUAGCCCUCGGUACCGAAGCCAACGCAUUAAGUGCACCGCCUGGGUAGUAUGCUCGCAAGGGUGAAACUCAAAGGAAUUGGCGGGG
This 392-nucleotide ribosomal RNA is filed under the name uncultured bacterium. RNAcentral describes it as "partial 16S ribosomal RNA". It matches the Rfam family "Bacterial small subunit ribosomal RNA", at positions 523 to 918 of the family's 1533-position model. The record is from RNAcentral.